GAUGAACGCUAGCGGCAGGCCUAACACAUGCAAGUCGAGGGAGAAGCCCUUCGGGGCAGAAACCGGCGCACGGGUGCGUAACGCGUAUGCAACCUACCUUUCACAGGGGGGUAGCCCGAAGAAAUUUGGAUUAAUACCCCAUAAUAUUAUUGGAUGGCAUCAUUUGAUAAUUAAAAUUACGAUGGUGAAAGAUGGGCAUGCGUCCUAUUAGCUAGUUGGAGUGGUAACGGCACCCCAAGGCUACGAUAGGUAGGGGUCCUGAGAGGGGAUCCCCCACACUGGUACUGAGACAGGGACCAGACUCCUACGGGAGGCAGCAGUGAGGAAUAUUGGUCAAUGGUCGGAAGACUGAACCAGCCAUGCCGCGUGCAGGAAGAAUGCCUUAUGGGUUGUAAACUGCUUUUAUAUGGGAAGAAUAAGGAGUACGCGUACUUUGAUGACGGACC
Molecule: ribosomal RNA, 446 nt
Filed under: Capnocytophaga granulosa
Lineage: Bacteria; Pseudomonadati; Bacteroidota; Flavobacteriia; Flavobacteriales; Flavobacteriaceae
Description: bacterial SSU rRNA
Rfam family: Bacterial small subunit ribosomal RNA
Source: RNAcentral